This 3414-nucleotide long non-coding RNA is filed under the name Vitis vinifera (wine grape). RNAcentral describes it as "long non-coding RNA (VVIN_LNC001141)". The record is from RNAcentral. Lineage: Eukaryota; Viridiplantae; Streptophyta; Magnoliopsida; Vitales; Vitaceae.
GCAUCAAAACAUAAUUUUAGUAUCGAUUUUAUUAAAUAAAAAUGGUGAACAAAUCCACCAAUUAUUAAUCUUGCCAAUGUGUUUGGCGAAUUAUUACAUUGUUGGAAGAUGACAUGGCUAAAGUGGAGGAGAGCAAAGCGCUUGGCAUGCGCAAGUGUGAUCAGACUUAAAUUGUGUGCAAUGGCAUCCGUGAAGCAUGCUACUUGCACCAUACUUUCCUGACAUCUCGAUGAAGCAACCAAGAUUCUCAGAUGGACAUUUUCCCGGAAAAUGUUCAGUCACAGUACAGAAUUGUCCUGCAAGAAUAAAUGAAAGACCAAGUUUGUAUCAACAUUUUUUUUUUCUUUUUUUUUCUUUUUUAAAAAGAUGGAUUUUGAGAUAUAUCUCUAGAAUUUUUUUGCAGAUUUAAUAAAUGAGAGUUCCUUAUUUUAUUUUCCUUUUUUAAAAAAAAUAAUAAGAAAAAUAGAAAAUAUAAGAGCUUGUUUAGAAACUACUUUUUGAAAAGAAUUUUUUUUUUCUAAAGAAUAUAAAAUAGUUUUUUAACCUAAAAAUGUGUUUGGAAAAUCUUUAAUUGAAAAUGUGUUUUUGAUAAUUUAUUUCAACUUUUGUAUAUAGAGAAUAAGGUAAAAAGAAAAAAAAUUAUAUCUGAAUUUUCAAGUAAAAUUUUGUUUUUAAAAAUAUUGAAUUUAUUUUAAAAUGGAUUUAAAUAUUAUUUUUUGAAAAUUAUUUUCAAAAACAUCAUAAACUAAGCCUAUACUUAUAAUUGGUUUUUGAAUUUUUGUAAAACAAAAAUGUGUUUAAGAUUUUAAAAUAUUCUUAAUCUUUUUUUAUAUUAUUAAUAUAAUAUAAAAUAUUUUUAUAUUUUAAGCCUGUACUUAAAAUAUUCUUAAUAUUAUUGGGGUUUAUCUCAUCUUACCACCAAGGCAAGUUUGCUUCUUAUUAGAUGUAAUACACUAAAAUAUAUAUUUAAAGUCAUCAUAUAAAGAAAAUUUUAAAAGAAUAUUUUAGAGAGCAAAUUAAUUAUAAUUAUUUUAUAAUUAAAUACAAAAAUUUCUUUUAAUUUAUUACCAAAAAUAUAAAAAAAAAUAUCAUAAUAAUUUUCUUCAUAGUAUUUUUAAUAUCAUUAAUAAAUUAAUUAAAUAUUAAAAAAUUAUACAUAUAUCAUAAUUUAUUUAAUAUCAUUUAAUAUAAUUGAAUUAAAUGGAUCAUAAUUUUAAUAUUAAUAUAUAUUUUAAAAAUAGACAUAUUAUAAUUAAAUAUCAUAAUAUUAUUAUGAAAUAAUAUUUGAUGUAAUUUAAUAAUAAAUGUACAUUUAUAAAAUUCAUAUUUUUAUACAAUAUUAUCAAAUAUGAUAAAUCAUAUUAUACAUAUAUCAAAUUCUUUAAUAAAACAAUUUUAAAACAUCUAUUAUACUUUUAAUUACAUUUUUAUGAAGUUUUUCUUAUAUUUUUUUUUAUAAAUUUUCAUCAAUUUUACGUCUAUCGAUAUUUUUCGAUAUAUCUGAUAUACCCGUAAUUUCCGAUAUUUUUAUCUUGGUCCCAUCUCCUUGUGGAGACCCGAUCUUUUUAUCCUAUAUGCUAAUUUUCUUCAUACAGAGUGAAAUUAUGACAAUUUUAUCCACCCUAAUAGGGAGAUUUUUGUCGAUGCUCCUAUCUCGUAGAAUGAAAAAAGGGAUGCCUAGGAUCUUCACCCUAACAAGGAGAUCUUUGUUGAUGCUCCUAUAUGAUAGAAUGAAAAUAAAUGUAAGACUUCUCUCAUCUUAGUGAAGUAUAACUAAAAUACCCGACUAAAGGAAACUCCAUAGAAAGUUAAAUAUACUAGAAUAUUUUAUUAGAUUAUUUUAAAAUAAAAAUAUAGCAAUGAAAUAAAAAUAAAAAUAAUAAAAAAUGUAAGAUAAAUAAAAUUUGUACAAAAUGCACUAUGUUAUAUCAUAAAAAGAUUUUUUUUUAAUAAUAUGUGUAUUAUAUAAAUCUUAAUUAUAUUUCUUUUUAACAUUUUUCUAGACAGUGAAAACUCAAACCAAACAAUAUUUUAUACUUUUCAUUUUUUUUUAAAACAAUUUUUAUUUAUUUUUAAUCAAACCAUAUUUCCAAGAAAAAAAUAUAGGAAAUGAAAACUAUCUUUAAAAAAAUGAAAGACUAGAAGACACUUUCCGAAGCAUUUACUUAUUUUGACUCUUUUAUAUAAAAUUAAAAUAAUUUAAAAAUUGCAUCAAACUAAUUUUACUUAUGUUAGAUGUAACAAAGUCGCUCUUUUAAAUCAAGAUAUAAAAUGGUGAUUGAACCAUAACCAGCUGAGAUGGUGAAAGUUUGAUAUAAGAAAUUAUAUUAUUUUUUAUAUAUUUUUCAUAAUAAAAUUAAGCAUCAAGACAUAAUUUUAGUAUCGAUUUUAUUAAAUAAAAAUGGUGAACAAAUCCACCAAUUAUUAAUCUUGCCAAUGUGUUUGGCGAAUUAUUACAUUGUUGGAAGAUGACAUGGCUAAAGUGGAGGAGAGCAAACCGCUUGACAUGCGCAAGUGUGAUCAGACUUAAAUUGUGUGCAAUGGCAUCCGUGAAGCAUGCUACUUGCACCAUACUUUCCUGACAUCUCGAUGAAGCAACCAAGAUUCUCAGAUGGACAUUUUCCCGGAAAAUGUUCAGUCACAGUACAGAAUGGCCCUGCAAGAAUAAAUGAAAGACCAAGUUUGUAUCAACAUUUUUUUUCCUUUUUUUUUUUCUUUUUUAAAAAGAUGGAUUUUGAGAUAUAUCUCUAGAAUUUUUUUGCAAAUUUAAUAAAUGAGAGUUCCUUAUUUUAUUUUCCUUUUUUAAAAAAAAUAAUAAGAAAAAUAGAAAAUAUAAGAGCUUGUUUAGAAACUACUUUUUGAAAAGAAUAUUUGUUUUUUUCUAAAGAAUAUAAAAUAGUUUUUUAACCUAGAAAUGUGUUUGGAAAAUCUUUAAUUGAAAAUGUGUUUUUGAUAAUUUAUUUCAACUUUUGUAUUUAGAGAAUAAGGUAAAAAGAAAAAAAAAUUAUAUCUGAGUUUUCAAAUAAAAUUUUGUUUUUAAAAAUAUUAUGAAUUGAUUUUAAAAUGUAUUUAAAUAUUAUUUUUUGAAAAUUAUUUUUGAAAACAUCAUGACAGAAACUAACCAUAUAUUUAUAAUUGUUUUUUGAUGUUUUGUAAAAUAAAAAUAUGUUUAAGAUUUUAAAAUAUUCUUAAUCUUUUUCUAUAUUAUUAAUUAUAUUUUAUAUUUUCUCAUUGAUAAUUUCUAUUUCCACAUUGAUAAUCAUGUUUUCCUAUUUUUUUAUUUUAAAGAAUAUAAAAUUACUUUAAAAAAUAAUUAAUUAGUACCUUGAGCUUGACCGAAGGUAAGCAGACUUGACAAGAUAACGAGACAAAGCAUGAGAGGUACUGCCAUCUUCUUCAUGAUUUCUUUAUUUU